Citrus sinensis (sweet orange) is the source of this 147-nucleotide non-coding RNA. The record is from Rfam. Lineage: Eukaryota; Viridiplantae; Streptophyta; Magnoliopsida; Sapindales; Rutaceae.
AAAGCAGGGAUUUGUGUGUAUCGGCGUUGCGCGAUAAAUGCGCAUUGUAUCCGAAAGAGUUCCCUGCUAUAUCAUAUUUUGGGCGGAUGGGCAGUUGUGCUUCAAUCUCUACCGUUGAUUUUCUCAACAAUCAUCCUCCCCACACCU